UACGAAGGGGGCUAGCGUUGUUCGGAAUUACUGGGCGUAAAGGGCUCGUAGGCGGCCAACUAAGUCGGACGUGAAAUCCCUCAGCUUAACUGGGGAACUGCGUCCGAUACUGGAUGGCAUGGAUUUGGGAGAGGGAUGCGGAAUUCCAGGUGUAGCGGUGAAAUGCGUAGAUAUCUGGAGGAACACCGGUGGCGAAGGCGGCAUCCUGGACCAAUAUUGACGCUGAGGAGCGAAAGCCAGGGGAGCAAACGGG
RNAcentral lists this ribosomal RNA (253 nucleotides) under uncultured bacterium. RNAcentral describes it as "partial 16S ribosomal RNA". It matches the Rfam family "Bacterial small subunit ribosomal RNA", at positions 524 to 776 of the family's 1533-position model. The record is from RNAcentral.